GGAGGCAUAGCUCAGUGGCAGAGCACCUGCUUUGCGUGCAGAAAGUCCCAGGUUCAAUCCCUGGUGUCUCCA
Molecule: non-coding RNA, 72 nt
Organism: Elgaria multicarinata webbii
Lineage: Eukaryota; Metazoa; Chordata; Lepidosauria; Squamata; Anguidae
Source: the annotation of a RefSeq genome assembly